UUGCUUAUACCAACACUCAAAUUUCAGAUUUCUUCGCUGAGACAUUCUGUCGAACUGUUGGCGGACAUUCUUAUUCUUCCAUUUGCACUGCCGCAGCCAACGCCGCUCCCGCCACAAACGGCGGCGGAGGUGGACGCCACAAGUAUGCAGCCGAGGGUGGAGGAGAGAGAGAAAAUAAAAGUGAGAAGAAUCAAAGAUAUGUCGCCCUUUAGCAACCAAAAAAAAAAAACUCCAUUGUUAACCUAAUAUUUUCAAUUCAACUAACGUAAUUCAUCAUAUUCAAAUGUUCAGUUCACAUUUAAACCAAUCAAACCAGUAAGUCGAGGAUUAGCACUGAUGGAUAAAUGUUCAGUUCAAAAAUGGUGAAUUAAUUCAUCAUUUCCCAAAAAUCAAGAAACUCAUUUCAAACUUGUAUUUUGCAUUGACUAGUAAAUAAAGUAGAUAAGUUAAGAAAAGCUUCGUCUCAUUUUCCAAUGGGAAAACAAAAACGCCGCAAAUAGUGUCUGUUGCUUUCGCCUCAGAAUUCAAUAUUGUUAGAAAUGGAUAUUGGGUCCAUUUCUCUCUUAAAAGGCCUUAUAAGGGAGAAUGAUACGCCAAGCCCAUCCCCUAGCUUGGCCCUAUUAUGAUCUAGCCCAUUAGCCCAUUAGGUUUUUAUUAUUAGGUAUAAAUAAUGUAAUCUCUAAGUUUAUUGGAUAUGAAAUGAAUAUGUUGGUUGUUUUGUCAAAUCUCUCCCUUCUCUCUUGAUUUAUGGAGUUUGAGNAUAAUUAAAUAGAUCAUUUUAACGUUUAGCAAAGCUCAAACUAAUUUUAAAAGUUCAAAUUAAUGUUUAAAGCCCAUUAUUUAAUUCUAUGAAUUAUUUUAAAAGCCCUAUAGGCAAAUUCUAUUUCUCUCUCUCUCUACUCUUUCACCUUCUCCAUUUUCAUUCUCUUCUUGUGUGGGUGCAGCGAGUCCACGUAAAUAUUACUUUAAAAAAAUCGAAGUGCAUCACCGUUGAUACGGAUCCGUAUCAAUGGUGGAGCAAUUCGAGUCGCUCAAACUCCAUAAAUCAAGAGAGAAGAGAGAGAUUUGAC
Molecule: long non-coding RNA, 1070 nt
Filed under: Salvia miltiorrhiza (redroot sage)
Lineage: Eukaryota; Viridiplantae; Streptophyta; Magnoliopsida; Lamiales; Lamiaceae
Description: long non-coding RNA (SMIL_LNC010866)
Source: RNAcentral